RNAcentral lists this ribosomal RNA (253 nucleotides) under uncultured bacterium. Its description in RNAcentral is "partial 16S ribosomal RNA". It matches the Rfam family "Bacterial small subunit ribosomal RNA", at positions 524 to 776 of the family's 1533-position model. The record is from RNAcentral.
UACGGAGGGUGCGAGCGUUGUCCGGAAUCAUUGGGCGUAAAGGGCGCGUAGGUGGCCCGGUCAGUUCGUGGUGAAAGCGCGGGGCUCAACCCUGCGUCGGCCAUGAAUACUGCCGCGGCUGGAGCACUGUAGAGGCAGGCGGAAUUCCGGGUGUAGCGGUGGAAUGCGUAGAGAUCCGGAAGAACACCGGUGGCGAAGGCAGGUUCUGGGCUGACACUGACGCUCAUGCACGAAAGCGUGGGGAGCAAACAGG